This is a long non-coding RNA of Triticum aestivum (bread wheat), 181 nucleotides long. RefSeq lists it as uncharacterized. The record is from RefSeq and is a predicted model, not a curated record. NCBI's taxonomy places the organism in Eukaryota, Viridiplantae, Streptophyta, Magnoliopsida, Poales, Poaceae. The transcript has 3 exons.
GGCGGUCGGCGGCGCUCUAGCCGUGGAGGCCUGCUCCUCAUGCUCCUCCUCUGGAUCUAAUUCUUGAUUCUUGCGUCGGUCUGAACUGUGCGAUUUACGUUUCGUCAGAGGUCUGUUCUUGGGAUUCUAGUGCUGUUGAUCUCGUCAAGGGCCUCAUCUGCUUUCUUUCAUCUUGUGAAGG